UGGGGAAUUUUGCACAAUGGGGGAAACCCUGAUGCAGCAACGCCGCGUGAGUGAAGAAGGCCCUUGGGUUGUAAAGCUCUUUCGGUUGGGGAGAAGGGUGAUAUGGCUAAUAUCCAUGUCAUUUGACGGUACCAAAAGAAGAAGCACCUGCUAACUUCGUGCCAGCAGCAGCGGUAAUACGAAGGGUGCAAGCGUUGUUCGGAAUUACUGGGCGUAAAGGGCGCGUAGGCUGGUUUGUAAGUCGAAUGUGAAAUCCCCGGGCUUAACCCGGGACGUGCAUUCGAAACUGCAGAUCUUGAAUGCUUGAGAGGGUGGUGGAAUUCCUAGUGUAGAAGUGAAAUUCGUAGAUAUUAGGAGGAACACCUGAGGCGAAGGCGGCCACCUGGCAAGACAUUGACGCUGAGGCGCGAAAGUGCGGGGAGCAAACAGG
Molecule: ribosomal RNA, 430 nt
Filed under: uncultured bacterium
Lineage: Bacteria
Description: bacterial SSU rRNA
Rfam family: Bacterial small subunit ribosomal RNA
Source: RNAcentral